Molecule: long non-coding RNA, 9778 nt
Filed under: Gossypium barbadense (sea-island cotton)
Lineage: Eukaryota; Viridiplantae; Streptophyta; Magnoliopsida; Malvales; Malvaceae
Description: long non-coding RNA (GBAR_LNC021661)
Source: RNAcentral
CUAAAACAAAUUUGGUCAAUUUCAUAUACUAUACGAAAAAAAUUAUACUCAAAUUUGAAUUUAUAUUUACAAUAAACAGAAUUGAUAAAUGAAAUUUAGCCGCGUAGACAUUUGUAUAGAAUAAAUCUCUACCAUUACAUAUCCCAAUCUCGAUUUCAACAUAUCUAACCUAUAAAUCAAAUAGCCAUUGGGCCUUGAAGAGUAUUGCUAGGCUUCCAUCAUGGUUGUGUCCAUGUAACCACUUCUAAUCAAAUUGGUGCCCUCUAACGAAGCCGAAACUGGGCCGAUUGAAAGCAACGCAUGUCCAUAAAAGGGUGAAUAUCAUCUUCAGUACCUUGGGGCCCUCAAAUUGGUGGCAGAUCAUGAAGCAAUCUUUAGCUAAAAAACCAAAUCUUGCUAGGUAAAAUUUGUACAAACCCAAUAAUGCCCGGGCCCAACUAAACCUAGAAUGGCCCAACACCUAACCCAAACUAAACAGCCCACUAACUAAAUUCCAGCAGCAACCCUAGCAGCAUACAACCUUCAACCCUAGCCGCCGCACAUCAGCCCUGCACCACCACCCUUUGCGCACGUACGUGUCCCACGUACAUCCCCAGUUGGCUGAAUCUGAGCAACAAACGGCAAAACAGACGCAAAGAACAAGUAAACGAAAGAGAAAAACGCAAAAAAGGAGAGAACAACGGAAAUACAAAGUUGUUGUGUUAUUUCUUUGAUUUUUUCUUUAUUUUUUCGGCUAUAUAAAGUCGAGGAAAAUCUGUAAAUAUGGGGGGAUUUUUGGUGUAAAAGAGGACGGAGAUAUACGAGAAAUAGAAAAGAAAUACAGAGAAAAUUUAUUUUUCGAAGGUUUUCUACUUUGUUCAUCGUUUCUUUUUGUAUAUAUCUAUAUUAUUUUUCUUUUUAUUUUCGUUUUAGUUUACUUAAAACAACAAAGAAAAGAGAGGAAAAGGCUUGCCUUUAGCCGAAACCGUCGAAUCGGUCCCCCUCCGUCGCGAUCGGAGGUCGGGGCGUCGUCGGAGGCCGUGGAAUGGCUUGAGCGGUGGCGGCGGCGGCAUGGAAAAGAAACCCUAGCAGAGAGUUUCUCUGCUAUUGCUUUUAAAAAAGGGAAAAAAAUGAAUUUUGGUGAAAAUUUUGGCCUUUUAUAAUAAAAACAGAACGGCGCCGUUUUAGGGGCAGGAUCCACGCGUUGACCCGACCCGCAGGCAGGGUCCGCGCGUCCUGACCUUAGAUGGUCUAUUUGCGCGUUCAGUCCUUCAAUUUUUUAAAUCGCUUUCGAAUCAGUUUUUGUUUAUUUUUAAUUUGGCCUACAUAUUUCUGCCGUUGUUCAUUUUAGCCCAUAUCACUGCACACCGUUUUGGAGAGGUGGAUUAUUUCCGAUUUGGCCCUCCAUGUAACUCGCGUGUCGCGAUUUGGCCCAUUAGUUUGCCUAAAUUUCAUUUAUUUCUAGUUAUUUUAAUUUUUAACUAUUUGGUCCUUUUUUUUUUGCGAUUGGUUGUUUUUUCUUUAAUUUGUUUUCUCCCAUUAUUUAUUAUUAUUGUUAUAUUAUUUAUUACCAUCAUUAAUAUUAUAUGUAUUUUUAUAUAUAGUGCAUACGCAUAGUUUUUUUAAUAUAUAUAUAGGUAUAUUUUUAUAGUAUGCGUAUGUUAUAUAUUUUUCACAUGUUUUAUUUCUAUUUUAUUUCUUAAUCUCUAUAUAUAUAUACACUCUUAUAUUUUUGUUUCAAAUUUUUUUCUUUUUUUUUUAGACAUGUAUAUACAUAUGUAGUUUAAAUUGAAGUGAUGGUUUCAUGCCAUGCAUUAAUAUUGACCACAUUUCUAAAGAAAAUAUAUUUUGGUCUUGACAAAGUGAUUAAAUCAUCGUCUUUUAUAAAUUUUCAAAUAUUUGGCAUUUAUGAUUCUCGAGAAAAAAACGUAUCCUAACUUACUGGAUUGCGAUUAUUCUUCGAUGAAUUUAGAACGCUAAGUAUUCAUUUUGCAUUAAAUUCGCAAAUUUUAAAUAAAAGCUUAUUCUUGGGAGUUCAAAAUGUUGGGUCCUAACUUACUGGUCCUGAUAUUUUGACUUCUCGAAAUAAGAAUUUUCAAAAGCAAAAGGCAAUAUUCGGGUAUUUUGAAGAUUUAAAAACAUUGUGCCCUAACUCACUGGGUGUGGUGUUUUAUUUUUUUGAAAUAAGAAUGUCUUAUUAUUUUGAUUCAUUCACGAAAUAAAAAGUUUCCUUUUAAAAUCUUUUCAAAUUUUCGACACCAAGGCAUUAAAGAAUCAAUUUGGUACCGAUUUUGGGCGUUACGAGGGUGCUAAUCCUUCCUCGUGCGUAACUGACUCCCGGACUCAUUCUCUCAAAUUUCGUGGACCAAAAUCAUUUUUAAGGUGAGCCGAUCACACCUUAAUAAAGGAUCGGUGGCGACUCCAGUUUUUGUUUUUUUUAAGUCGACAACCAAAAUUUUUGUUUUCAAAAAAACGGUUUCGACAGCUUGGCGACUCCGCUGGGGACCUUAAAGAGUCAAGCCAUAAACUGAUUAUGUUUGUCUUUGUGUCGAAAAUAAAAUUUUUUAAAAAUUCAUGAGUUCCCUUCGCACUCAUUGACUUUUCAUCAUGGUAUGUUGGUAACUUUGCAUUUGCAUUUUGCAUUUUACCCUUAGGUGGGAGUGAGAAACUAGUCCUUCGUGAGGUUUUCACCUCCGUGCAGGGUAGUGGAUCGCUUCCGGGAUACAUCUGUACCUAUGUCUUCGUGAGAUUUUCAUCUCUCUACAGCCAUAGGGAAAUGUGUCCCCCUAAACUGAACUCGAUCCAUAUAAGCCUAUAAUGGGUGAGGAUCGAGGAAUCUGCUGGUUCGGGUACCCUUACUCUAGAAACUAAACCGCAUAUAGUGAACCUUAGGAACUUAUCCUAGGUAGAAUUACUCUAAACCUUAGUAGAUACCUGACUAGGAGUUUUUAUUAUUUCUUGAUUGUAUUGGAUUUAAUGUUUAUACCCGAUACUAACCCGUUUUGUUUUGUUUUGGUUAUGAUUGCAUUGCAUUUGCAUUUUAGAAAAGAGAUGUUGAUUCAAGUUUGAUUACUAAUUUAGAAAGCUUAUCAUAAGAAAACAUGUUUCUUGAUAAAAUGAAAAAUAGUACGGCAGCCUGAAUGUAUUCCAAGAAAUACAAGAAGGGCGAUGGAAGAAUUCGUGACUUUACUUCGAGGCCCGAGGAUUCAAGAUGAUUGUCUAAGAGCUUUCAACAUUCCAAAUUUCUUAAAGAAGCUAAUGAGCAUUGCGAGGAUAGGCAGACAACGGAUUGCGACCAAAAUCAAGCAGAAGGAGCUAGCAGUGACAUCCUUUGGAAGUUCACGAGGUUUAUCUUAACAUCCGGAUGAAGAAGAAGUAGAUGUAUUUGCUUGGAGUAUGAGGGCAAAGCCGUAUAUAUAUCCGCUUUAUGUAAAGAAAUUUGUCCUCUAGUAAAGUUUUCUAAAUGGAAUUGAAUCAGAAUUAACGUCUCUUUAUGCAUUCAUCUCAUGCAUCGCAUCAUAUGCAUUAAAAACUUUUAAUUGAUCCUAAUUAAUUAAAAUUAUUGCUCAGUUAACCUGGAAACCAACCAACCAACUCGACACCGAUACGUCACUCGAGCAAAGACAAAAGAUAUGGACCAGAGAUUAGAAAAGCUCGAACACUACCAGAAGAAGAUGCAAGACUGGCUUCAGCUACAAAUGCAGGAGCUGUUAGACAAGAUGAAACAAGAGAUGUCUGAGAAGAUGCGAGAAUCCCAAGAAGAUAUAGUGGCAAAGUUAACUCAACUGAUAACUAAGGGAAGUGAUAAAAGAAAGGGCCCCAUAGCAAAUGUUGAUGAGGGAAAUGAUGAUGAACCUCUCUAUCCUCCAGGUUUCACCUCUUCACAUAUGCGAACUCAAGCUGAAUACCCGCGUAAAUCUAAUGUCACCAUCAUGCCGCAACAAUUUCGAGCUGGUGUUUCGAGCUUUCAAGCUGGACCGGGAUUUAAUCCCAAAAAUAAUCCAAUUAACUCUGCCAUUCCUGACUUUGAUGAAGUGGUUGAGAAGGAAAGAAUGAAGGAGGAGUUACCGAAACAGUUAGAGGAAAGGUGUAGGUGGCUCGAGGAAAAGUUCGAGGCGAUGGAGGUAUCUGAGAGUUAUCGAGGCAUUGACGCCAAAGAGCUGAGUUUAGCGUCGGAUUUGGUACUCCCUCAUAAAUUUAAGAUGCCAGAAUUCGAGAAAUACAAUGGGACAACUUGCCCAGAGGCUCAUAUCACCAUGUUCUGUAGACGAAUGGCAGGAUAUGUUAACAAUGACCAGCUCUUGAUACAUUGUUUCCAAGACAGCCUUGCUGGGGCACCGUCCAAAUGGUACAAUCAGUUGAGUCGUGCCACGAUUGGUUCAUGGAGGGACUUGGUGCAAGCAUUCAUGAAACAAUAUAGUCAUGUGACAGACAUGGCUCCUGAUAGAAUCACCCUUCAAAACAUGGAGAAGAAGCCGAACGAAAGCUUUAGGCAGUACGCGCAGAUAUGGAGGGAGGUCGCAGUCCAAGUUCAGCCACCGCUCCUGGAAAAAGAAAUGACCAUGUUGUUCAUUAACACCUUGAAGGCACCGUUCAUUACACAUAUGCUAGGAAGUGCCACAAAAAGCUUUCCUGACAUAGUCAUGAAUGGCGAGAUGAUUGAGAAUGCCAUCAGGAGUGGGAAGAUUGAUGCGGAAGAGAGUAACAAGCGGUCAGCCUUAAGGAGAAGAGAAAUUGAGGUGAACAACACAGGUUAUUCUAAAUCAGUUACUGUAAGUCAUCCAGGAAAGGGGGUUGCUAGUCAACAAAGUUCAUUGAGAUAGGAAUCUGGAGUGAAACCAGGUACUGAGAAGCUCCAGUUCACGCCAAUUCCGAUGUCGUAUAAGGAGCUGUACCAAAGCUUAUUCGAUGCACACGUUGUUUCUCCUUCCUACAUAAAACCCCCACAACCCCCGUAUCCCAAGUGGUAUGAUGCGAACGCACAAUGUGACUAACAUGUAGGAAUUACAGGGCACUCAAUUGAGAAUUGCAUUACGUUCAAAAAGCUAGUUGAAAAACUUAUCAACAUGGGUGUUGUCAAGCUUGAUGACUCGUCUAGCGCAGGAAAUCCGCUACCCAAUCAUGUUUGAGGAUGAAGGGACUGCAAUGUAUGAAGAAGUGGUGAGAAAUUUGCACAUCGAUGCCAUAUAUGCGGACACAAUUAAAAGGGUCCUUGUUAGAUAUUCGCCUUAGAGGUGUUCUAAAUAAUGGGACUGCAGAGGAAACCCCUGAAGUAUUUAGAGUCUGUUAGAGUAAUGUUCAGAACACACUUGUUGCUUUCAGCCUAGAAGCAAUAAGGAUUUCUUUGUGAAAUAGGCUCACGUCUGAACAUUUUUAUUUUAAUGAAAUACAUUAUUGCAAUCAUCUUUGAGCAAAUGUUCUUUCAUUCUUUACGAUUUUUUUUAUUCUUUUGGAUUUUUUCUGCUAAACCAUUCAUUCAUUCAUCAUACAUUCUUUUGUAUAUUCUUUUUGGUACCCACUAUGAGUCCCCAAAUAUCAAUGACAUGAGUGACGCUGUUACAGACUCAAAAUUUCCUUUUGAGUGAGACAUGUGUUUAGAGGGAUCUCAUGACUUUGAAGAUGUCAUAAAUUGUAGCUUCUCUCCUAACUUGUUGAGGAUGGUAAAGCAAUAAGAGAAACAAAUGAGACAAUAGAGACUGUGACCUUGAUGGAGCAUGCAUGACCGAAGAAACAAAACAAGACGUUAUUGAGUUACUUCAAGAAUUCAAAGAUGUCUACGCAUGGUCAUAUCAGGAUUGCCCAGGUUAAGCAUUGUCAUUGCAAUUUAAACAACUACCCGAUAUCAGAAAUUCGUAGUAUGUUCAAGGCGAAUAUCAUGAAUGGUGUAAUGAAAACUCUAACGGGGCAAUGCCACUCUUUUCAGUUUAUCACAUUUUUUCUAUUGAAGUUGAAAUUCUUUCUCUCCGGAUAUUGGCUGAGCAAGUUGGAUGAAGCAGAACGGAUCCAAUCGCAAGGUGAUCAAUUGAACUUGAUAGAAGGAAAAAGGCUAGAAACUAUUCAUCAUGGUCAGAUGUACCAAGAAAUGAAUGAUGCAAGCCUAUAACAAAAGGUUCAUCCUAGAGAGUUCCACGAGGGUGACCAAAUGUUGAAGAUCCUCCAUCUACAAAAAAUAUUAUGGAGGGAAACGGAUGCCAAAUUGGGAAGAACCUUAUUAUUAUAGAGAAGGUUUUUUUUUCCAAAGGAGCUUUAAUUUUGAGCGAGAUGGAUGAUAAACCUGUAAAGUCCUGUAAACUCAGAUUCAGUCAGGAAAUUCUCCGCUUAGAGAAGGAGAGGACCAAGGUAAAAACUCGCAAAGGGAAGUUUGAGUCAAAAAAAAAGUGAUGUGAAAAAUGAAAAGAUGAAAAUGAAAAAUGAAAAAAGAAAAUAGAGAGGCUAAGGUGAAAACCCGCAAAGGGCGCCUUAGACCAAAGGGGAUUUGAGUUGAAAACCCAAAAAGGGCGGCUCAAAUGUUAACCAAAAUGGCGUUUGAAAUUUUCAGAGCAGCUCAAAUACUGAUCAGAGCGGGGCAUACAGUGGUUCUGCUAUACCUGAAUCAAUAGGAAAGGGUAAGCGACAUCUUGGGGCAUCGACAAAGUACUAUAGAUCUCCUAAACACAUGUUAAGCUCAGAAUGGUUUUCAGAAAGUUUGUACAGAGAAGUUCAAGCUGCGAUGUCUGGGGCACCUAAUCCUUAUACCAUUUUUGCUAUUCUUGGAACACUUCAUUCAUUGCCAAGAUACGCAUUCCUAAAUCAAUUUCUUUGUUAUCCAUCUUUAUUAUCCUUGAUAAUUUAUUCAUUUCAAGCUAUGCUCAGAGCCAACUCUAUUCUUAUCCAUGAUAUUUUUGCAAGUAUGUGGCAUUAGAAUAAUGAUUAAUAGACUAAUAAAACUUUCACAAGAGGAGUUUUGCAUAUUACUCUAGAAGCUUCUAAAUAAUAUAGGAACCUCAAACAGGACUAUUAUUUAGAACGUACCAGGUUUAAGGGUGGGAAAUCCAAUAAAAAAAGUCUAAACUAAAAAGUCUAAACUAAGACUAUCCCUUUGAAUUUUAUUGUCUAAAGUAUUGAUUGAACAAAAUGGCAAGAUGUCGUGUUGGUGACAAAGCUUCAAUGAACAAGCAAGCAAUUAUCACCGAAUAAUAAUAAGAAGUUGUUAUUGAAGAAGAUUUUUUCAUUUAUGCAUGAGCAUUUGGUACAACACCCUGGGAAUGGUGUAAGAGACCAAAAAGUUUCACAUACUGUAUCAUUGAACUGUGAUAACAGAGGAUUAAGAAAAGGCCAAAUCUUUUACUCUUGGGUUACAACGGGAAAAGAUGGUACAAAUUUUACAUCCCAAUGGAUCAAACUUGGAGGUUUACAGUGGGGGGCAAUUUGGUCAACUGUCUCUUUGAAGACGCCAGCCGAGCAAGAAGGCGCUAUAGCACAUUAGCGAUGAAACUUAAUAAACUUUGAGCAAUGAUAACCUAAGAAGGAUCAUUCUUGAAAAAAUAUAAAAUAAAAUUCUGCAUUCAUGCAAACACCAUUCACACAUGUCUAGUUAGGAGCAUUUGAUUCAUUUUGAUCAUGUCAUCCUAAUCAUUAAGCAUAAUUAGGUUCAUUAUACAGGUCAUGUUCCCUAGAGAACAGAUCAGUGAAGAUUUUAGAUUUUGCCUUCCUGUAUAGAUAGCGAAGCAGAUCGAAGAUGGCAGAUUUUACCUCCUUGUGGUUACAGUGGAGUACAUUGAAGCCAGUAAUUCUACUUCCUUGGACAGCAGUGGAAUAGAUUAAAGAUUUCAGAUCUUGUCUCCCUAAGCAGUAGUGGAGCAAAUAAAAAAUGGCAGAUUUUACCUCCCUGUGGUUAUAGUGGAGUACAUUAAAGCCAGUAAUUCUACUUCCCUGGGCAGCAGUGGAAUAGAUUGAAGGUUUUAGAUCUUGCCUUCCUGCAUAUACAGCGGAGCAGAUCGAAGAUGGCGGAUUUUACCUCCUCGUGGUUACAGUGGAGUAUAUUGAAGCCAGUAAUUCUACUUCCCUGGACAGCAGUGGAAUAGAUUGAAGAUUUCAGACCUUGUCUCCCUAAGCAGUAGUGGAGCAAAUAAAAAAUGGCAGAUUUUACCUCCCUGUGGUUACAGUGGAGUAUAUUGAAGCCAGUAAUUCUACUUCCCUGGGCAGCAGUGGAAUAGAUUGAAGAUUACAGAUCUUGUCUCCCUAAGCAGUAGUAGAGCAGAUCAAAGAUGGCAGAUUUUACCUCCCUAUGGUUACAGCGGAGUACAUUGAAGCCAGUAAUUCUACUUCCCUCGGCAGCAGCGGAAUAGAUUGAAGAUUUCAGAUCGUCUCCCUAAGCAGUAGUGGGGCAGAUCAAAGAUGGCAGAUUUUACCUCCCUGAGGUUGCAGUGGAGUACAUUGAAGCCAGUAAUUCUACUUUCCUGGGCAGCAGUGGAAUAGAUUGAAGAUUUCAUAUCUUGUCUCCCUAAACAGUAAUGGAGCAGAUCAAAGAUGGUGAAUUUUACCUCCCUGUGGUUACAGUGGAGUACAUUGAAGCCAAUAAUUCUAUCUCCCUGAACAGCAGUGGAGUAGAUUGAAAACCACAAGAUCUUAUCUAGCUGAAGUUGCAGAGAGCAGAUCGCAGCAAGUUUUAUCUAUCUGAAGUUGCAGUGGAGUAGACAAAGCCAGUAAUCCUAUCUCCCUGAAGUGGCAGUGGAGCGGAUUAAAACCACAGAUCUCAUCUCUCUGAAGUUGCUGUAGAGCAGAUCGCGUCAGAUUUAUCCUUAAGUUGUAGCAGAGCAAAUUGAAGCUACAGGUCUUAUCUCCUUGAAGUUGCAGUGGAGCAGAUUAAAGAUAGCAAAUUUAGUUCUUUUGAGAAGCUACAACAUACGAAUCCUAUCUCUCUGACAUACAUUGCAAUGGAGUAGAUUGAAGCACCAGUUCCUAUACCUCUGAAGAUGCAGUAGGAAGGAAUGAGGCUAUUUGAAGUAAAGAAGUACUGAAGAAGUCGAGGCUCAGUAAGACCGAGCACAAUUGGGCUUUUAGUCUUUGCUCUAUUCCCGUUACACGACAAUGAGCAAAGAGGGGCAGCUGUACAAACCCAAUAAUGUCCGGGCCCAACUAAACCUAGAAUGGCCCAACACCUGACCCAAACUAAACAGCCCACUAACUAAAUUCCAGCAGCAACCCUAGCAGCAUACAACCUUCAACCCUAGCCGCCGCACAUCAGCCCUGCACCACCACCAUUUGCGCAUGUACGUGUCCCACGUACAUCCCCAGUUGGCUGAAUCUGCGCAACAAACGGCAAAACAGACGCAAAGAACAAGUAAACGAAAGAGAAAAACGCAAAAAAGGAGAGAAUAACGGAAAUACAAAGUUGUUGUGUUAUUUCUUUGAUUUUUUCUUUAUUUUUUCGGCUAUAUAAAGUCGAGGAAAUCUGUAAAUAUGGGGGGAUUUUUGGUGUAAAAGAGGACGGAGAUAUACGAGAAAUAGAAAAGAAAUACAGAGAAAAUUUAUUUUUCGAAGGUUUUCUACUUUGUUCAUCGUUUCUUUUUGUAUAUAUCUAUAUUAUUUUUCCUUUUAUUUUCGUUUUAGUUUACUUAAAACAACAAAGAAAAGAGAGGAAAAGGCUUGCCUUUAGCCGAAACCGUCGAAUCGGUCCCCCUCCGUCGCGAUCGGAGGUCGGGGCGUCGUCGGAGGCCGUGGAAUGGCUUGAGCGGUGGCGGCGGCGGCAUGGAAAAGAAACCCUAGCAGAGAGUUUCUCUGCUAUUGCUUUUAAAAAAGGGAAAAAAAUGAAUUUUGG